Gossypium raimondii (Peruvian cotton) is the source of this 107-nucleotide small nucleolar RNA. It matches the Rfam family "Plant small nucleolar RNA R71". From Rfam's summary of the family: R71 is a member of the C/D box family of snoRNAs containing the C (UGAUGA) and D (CUGA) box motifs. Multiple nearly identical copies of this snoRNA have been identified in Arabidopsis, and it is thought to function as a 2'-O-ribose methylation guide for 18S ribosomal RNA. NCBI's taxonomy places the organism in Eukaryota, Viridiplantae, Streptophyta, Magnoliopsida, Malvales, Malvaceae. The record is from Rfam.
AACCCAGGAUGAGGGCACAUUCUCAACAAAUCUUUAAAUAUCUCUCAUGCAUCAUAUAAUGUCUCCAAAUCAAUUUGAGCAAAAUAAAAUAUGUCAUUCCUCAACUU